CCCUUAGAUGUCCUGGGCUGCACGCGCGCUACACUGACGAUGUCAGAGAGUGUCUCCUUCACCGAGAGGUGUGGGUAAUCUUUUAAACAUCGUCGUGCUGGGGAUAGAUCAUUGCAAUUUUUGAUCUUAAACGAGGAAUUCCUAGUAAGCGCGAGUCAUCAGCUCGCGCUGAUUACGUCCCUGCCCUUUGUACACACCGCCCGUCGCUACUACCGAUUGAAUGGUUUAGUGAGGCCUUCUGACUGGCGCCGCUACUCUGGCAACAGAGCGGCGGAUGCCGGGAAGUUGGUCAAACUUGAUCAUUUAGAGGAAGUAAAAGUCGUAACA
Molecule: ribosomal RNA, 327 nt
Filed under: uncultured eukaryote
Lineage: Eukaryota
Description: partial 18S ribosomal RNA
Rfam family: Eukaryotic small subunit ribosomal RNA
Source: RNAcentral